UCGGGUAUAUUUGAAUUAUUCGUCACAGCCACAGCCCAAAAUACCUAUUACGUGUCCGCGGUCAAGUGUUGUGACCACAGACACGGUAAUGCUCAAAAAUGGAACAUUCUCUUCUGUAAGUAAAUGGAUCGAGCGACGUUCCAUCCAUCCUUUCACAUGGCCACUGUAUCACUAUAGCUAUUCACAUGAGCUACUGCAUGCAAUAAACAUCCACAAACACCGUUUCUUCUUUUGACUGAUAAGGAAAUUUCUAAAGACGAAGGCGAUGCAAGGAUUCAUUCGGAUUAUGCCAAGACGAUUGCGGGGUUGUCCAUGCUAGUGUCCUGGCUGCUGUCACAACGGCUGACGCACCGUUGCCUCGCUGCAUCAUUACCAAGGACUGCCUCCACUUCCCCUGGACAGGCAGGAUGUUGUUGACGUGCUGAGAUUUACAGGCGUUGUUAGCAGCAGAGAUGAUAGAAAUUGCGAUUGAAUCGGCGUCAAUGUUCCUUAAUGCGGCCAUUACGUUUAGGAGAGUGAAUAAUUAGUGAUUUUCCCAAAAGAUAUUUGUGAUUUCUUGUCAAGAACUUGAUGGAUUCAAACAUAUUCUAUAUUAAUGCUAUAUUCACAAACAACUGAAAAACAACGCAUAUUUUGUCUUCUCUGCUUACAUACAUUUUGAUGAUUAUCACUGUUUUAAUCUUGACAACUUUCAUGGUAAACAAAACUGUCUCAUUAAUUGUUUCACGAAGUUCAUUGUCCUUCACUGGUUCAUACUCGUUAUGUAUAAACAUCGGUACACAAGCGACGUGCACCAGCGCUUGUGACGUCAGAAUGAUAUUGUUCCAACAAACUCAAAAGCGAAAGAAAAAACACGCGGUCGGUGACAGUGCGGUAAUUAUCUCAUCCUUUGCGCAUGUGUGCUUCCAAGAAAGUGCAAAGCAGACGAUAAGUAACUUGUUGCAUUGUAAAUACUGACCAAAAUGUGGGAUUUAGUAACCACCAGCUCUCGAUAACUACAAUACGAGUGCCGAAGAAGUGAAACGUGGUUUCAGUCUUUCAAAGGAAUGAUGUCAUCACUUUCCUUGAGUGACUUGGCAAUGUGAACGAGUGACGUGUCAUCUUCCUGGCUUACUUCAUCCUCCUCUCUCCCUGCAUCACAUCAGGUAAAACUGAUGCUGCCUAGCCCGGCAACCAGAAAUUCCGCCAGCAUGGCGGGAUAGGAGUUACCGCCCGGGAAGUAGGCGUGGAAAUGUGGAUGGUGCCAGUGGGUCAUCUGUCCAGACCGUGUCCGUGUCUUUAUACAGAAUUCUGGGGUCCCUAUUGCAAUAGAGUACCGAACAUGGAGCUAUUUUCGAAGUGAAUACGUCACGCGCACAAUUAUGUGUGUAAAAGGCACUAGCGCAAGAACCAGCGAGAACUCCUCGCGUUUGCACUACCCUUCCUAACUUAA
Acanthaster planci (crown-of-thorns starfish) is the source of this 1432-nucleotide long non-coding RNA. The record is from RefSeq and is a predicted model, not a curated record. Lineage: Eukaryota; Metazoa; Echinodermata; Asteroidea; Valvatida; Acanthasteridae.